RNAcentral lists this ribosomal RNA (869 nucleotides) under Rhodocollybia sp. RNAcentral's name for it is "LSU rRNA". It matches the Rfam family "Eukaryotic large subunit ribosomal RNA", at positions 77 to 922 of the family's 3401-position model. Lineage: Eukaryota; Fungi; Basidiomycota; Agaricomycetes; Agaricales; Omphalotaceae. The record is from RNAcentral.
CCCUUAGUAACUGCGAGUGAAGAGGGAAAAGCUCAAAUUUAAAAUCUGGCAGUCUUCUGAUUGUCCGAGUUGUAAUUUAGAGAAGUGCUACCCGUGUUGGCCCGUGUAUAAGUUUCCUGGAAUGGAACGUCAUAGAGGGUGAGAAUCCCGUCUUUGACACGGACUACCAAUGCUUUUGUUGGUGUGCUCUCGAAGAGUCGAGUUGUUUGGGAAUGCAGCUCUAAAUGGGUGGUAAAUUCCAUCUAAAGCUAAAUAUUGGGGAGAGACCGAUAGCGAACAAGUACCGUGAGGGAAAGAUGAAAAGAACUUUGGAAAGAGAGUUAAACAGUACGUGAAAUUGCUGAAAGGGAAACGCUUGAAGUCAGUCACAUUAUUUGGGGAUCAGCCUGCCUUUCUUUGGUUGGUGUACUUCCUGAUUAAUGGGUCAGCAUCAGUUUUGACCGGUGGAUAAGAGCUUGAGGAAUGUGGCAUCUCCGGGUGUGUUAUAGCCUCUUGUUGUAUACAUCGGUUGGGACUGAGGAACUCAGCACGCCGCAAGGCCGGGUUGUUUACAAUCACGUACGUGCUUAGGAUGCUGGCAUAAUGGCUUUAAUCGACCCGUCUUGAAACACGGACCAAGGAGUCUAACAUGCCUGCGAGUGUUUGGGUGGAAAACCCGAGCGCAUAAUGAAAGUGAAAGUUAGGAUCUCUGUUAGUGGAGAGCACUGACGCCCGGCCCAGACCUUUUGUGACGGUGCCGCGGUUGAGCAUGUAUGUUGGGACCCGAAAGAUGGUGAACUAUGCCUGAAUAGGGUGAAGCCAGAGGAAACUCUGGUGGAGGCUCGUAGCGAUUCUGACGUGCAAAUCGAUCGUCAAAUUUGGGUAUAGGG